UUUAAACCUAAUCCAUGCAGAAAUAAUCAAAUAAUCGAAUUCAAAAUAGGGAAAAAAAAACAAAACUCGGAAGAUAACCUAAAACAUAAAAACUAAGACCGAAACAAUUGAAUUUGAAUCCCAAACUCGGCUGGAAUGGCUAGCUUUGUCAUUCAACAUACAGAUCUCGCUAAGUGUUUUCCGAAUUAAAAUUGCACGCUAAAAUUGGAUGCUCAGCGAAAAGUUAUGACUAUUUAAAGAUUUUUCGCAAAAUUGUCGAAUUCAAAUAAAUUUUUCGUUCGAUUUGGUUGUAUCACAUUUUUCCAAAAAACUUAACCUACGCUAAAUUGGUCGCAUAAUAUAGUAUCAGGACCAGAUUUAAUUACACCCCUUAAUUUAAUGUCACCUGAGUAGUUGGGUGCUAUUUGCGUUUAACAUGUGUAUUGAAUAUAUAUAUAUAUAUAUAUAGUAGAGCUAGAAUACUUGUAAAAGUAUCACCCAAGUGAUACUUGUGUGUUUUUAGCCCUUGGAUGGAGAGAUGUGAGGUUGAGAUGAUAGUGGUAGGUGGUGGUAGGUGGUGGUAGGUGAAAUAGUGUUUGAUCCAAAGGCUAUUAGUAAUCAAAAAGUAGAUCCAAUGACUAAAAACACACAAGUAUCACUUGGGUGAUACUUGUAAAAGUAUUCUAGCCCUACUCUAUAUAUAUAUAUAUAUAUAUAUAUAUG
Molecule: long non-coding RNA, 702 nt
Filed under: Ananas comosus (pineapple)
Lineage: Eukaryota; Viridiplantae; Streptophyta; Magnoliopsida; Poales; Bromeliaceae
Description: long non-coding RNA (ACOM_LNC044382)
Source: RNAcentral